GGAAUAUUGGACAAUGGGCGCAAGCCUGAUCCAGCCAUGCCGCGUGUGUGAAGAAGGCCUUCGGGUUGUAAAGCACUUUUGUUGGGGAAGAAAAGCAUCCGGUUAAUACCCGGGUGUCAUGACGGUACCCAAAGAAUAAGCACCGGCCACCUUCGUGCCAGCAGCCGCGGUAAUACGAAGGGUGCAAGCGUUACUCGGAAUUACUGGGCGUAAAGCGUGCGUAGGUGGUCUGUUAAGUCUGAUGUGAAAGCCCCGGGCUCAACCUGGGAAUGGCAUUGGAUACUGGCAGUCUAGAGUGCGGUAGAGGGGUGUGGAAUUCCCGGUGUAGCAGUGAAAUGCGUAGAUAUCGGGAGGAACAUCCGUGGCGAAGGCGACACCCUGGACCAGCACUGACACUGAGGCACGAAAGCGUGGGGAGCAA
Molecule: ribosomal RNA, 421 nt
Filed under: uncultured bacterium
Lineage: Bacteria
Description: bacterial SSU rRNA
Rfam family: Bacterial small subunit ribosomal RNA
Source: RNAcentral